RNAcentral lists this long non-coding RNA (404 nucleotides) under Sorghum bicolor (sorghum). Its description in RNAcentral is "long non-coding RNA (SBIC_LNC016186)". The record is from RNAcentral. Lineage: Eukaryota; Viridiplantae; Streptophyta; Magnoliopsida; Poales; Poaceae.
AAGAGCCAACAGAGGAGACAUGGCCGGAGAGCCAAGAUCACCAGUGGACAAACCCGCCUUUUCAUACGGGCAGGUACUCCACUGAUCCAUAUGGAGCUUCAGGAUCCAGACCUCCGCCCCAAUUUGAUGCAGGACGAUACUCCGACGCCUCCUACGCUUUCACGAAUGACUACUACCAAGAGGCCGGUGCUUUCUUCACUCGUACCGACAACACCCUCCUCGACAUCCAGAACACGCAAGCAGAACAUGGAAGACUCCUGGAAGAGCAACAAAAAUGGAACCAGGACCAUGCCGCUGCAGUAGAAGAGCUGAGACAAGAUACAACAACAAUGAACGACAACAUCACAACCAUGAUGCGGUUCUGGAACAUCGGGUAAGACCGACGUCAACAUCCAGCUUGGGGG